This 276-nucleotide ribosomal RNA is filed under the name uncultured soil bacterium. Its description in RNAcentral is "partial 16S ribosomal RNA". It matches the Rfam family "Bacterial small subunit ribosomal RNA", at positions 26 to 277 of the family's 1533-position model. The record is from RNAcentral.
AGAACGAACGCUGGCGGCGUGGAUAAGACAUGCAAGUCGAACGGAAUAUCCUUUGUAGCAAUACAACGGAUGUUCAGUGGCGUAAGGGUGCGUAACACGUGGGCAAUCUACCGAGAAGUGGGGGAUAGUUCGCCGAAAGGCGAAUUAAUACCGCAUGUGGUUAGCGAAGACAUCUUCGCGACACUAAAGCCGGGGACCAUAGCAAUAUGGCCUGGCGCUUCUUGAUGACGCCCGCGGCCUAUCAGCUUGUGGCGGGGUAACGCCCACCAAGGCUAU